Molecule: long non-coding RNA, 1364 nt
Organism: Raphanus sativus (radish)
Lineage: Eukaryota; Viridiplantae; Streptophyta; Magnoliopsida; Brassicales; Brassicaceae
Exons: 4
Source: RefSeq, a predicted model, not a curated record
GACACAUGUCUUUAUUAAAUGAAACGCAGUGUUGUGGUCUCCGUCUUUCAUCGUCUCAUCUCAAUUGGGCUUCAUCUCACGCUCCGGUUUGCGGCCCAUCUACAAUGCGACGAGAGAGAAACCCUAAUCGGUUGUGAAGAACUCAUUCGUGAUUAUUGUUCUCCUUUAAUCUGCGGAAGGGCGAUUCAGUUUCUAUAACGGUGUUCGUGGUGAUUAAUCAUCUUUAAUCCUCUUAAAUCAUGAGGCCAUUACGAAGUUUGAUUGAAGGAUAACGUCGGCGAAAUCAGGUAUAAAUAUGUUACGAUCUCUUCUCUUCAACUCACGAUCUCUGAAUCUUUCUUCUACUUAUCUCGAGGUCUGAUUCAUUAUUAGCUGCGAUCUACAUCGUUAUUAUUAUCACUGUAUUUUCCCCUGAACCAUAUCCUGUUGUUUAGUAAUGAUCGUGGUUUCAUGUUUGGUAGAGUCAAUACUCCGUUGAAAUUCACACAUGUUAAUUGUAUCUAUUCUCGCACUGUUAUGUUUGCACAGGUUGUUCUUGCUCGCAAGAGCAUGAUUAUAACGGAUACUGACAUUGAUCCCGUUGCUUGGUUUGCACAGUUACAGAUGUGUUUUUUUUUUGUCUAAGGUUAGGACUUGAAUCUCAGUUGAGUUAUUGUUUGACAGAGUGAAAGGUCAUGACGCUUAUCAAUUCUGUCUGCAACAACCUGGUGCGCCAGCUUUUAUUGAACACCAUAUGCUAUAGAAAGUAGUCUCUUGGUGUGUUCUGUUUGAUUCACAUAUCUGGAAGAAAUUGUUGUUAAAGAUAAGCGAACUGUGUUAGACAUACAUCUUUGUGAAACAAACUGAGAGACUUUUCCAAAGGAAUCAGUUAGGUGUCUGCAGCGAAGCUUUGGGUGCAACUAGGCCUCGAGCUGCCCGUGAUGUCAAGAUAAAGCGUGACUUACUAACCACCCCAAGGAUAUUGUAUGAAAGAAUAUAAGAGAAAAGUUAAACUCUAUGUGACAAAAAAUUGUGAGGAAGCUUGCAAGAUUGCAGCCACCUAUAUUCUCAAUUGGCAGGGAAGCUGAGAAGAGAAGAUGACGAGCUGUUUGUGGGCUUCCAGCAGAAGAAGCCAGACUUUGAUUAAGGAAAUAAGUGAUAUAUCAGCUGUUUGUGUGAUCUUUUAAAUUUGAUGUAUUUUCGAGAAUUGCUAUUUUUCUUUCUAUCGUCAUGAUAAAGAUGAGAAUAUCUUUUAAAAAAAAUAUAUUAAUAUCGAAAACCUUAAAUGGGACAUUGGUUAAAUGGUUGCACCAAAUAAUUGAUUUGCAAAUUAUACCAGAAUAAACUGAAACCAAACAAAGAAGACCCUUGACAGUGAAACAUCG